UUUCACUCUAGGAAGAGCUUCUGAUCCUUCCUUUUAUCAACACCAACUUUGAGAUGGACAAGAUUUCCAGCUGUUCCACAUCCAGAAGCUGACCAGACUGACCGCCGAAUCUUCAAAAUUAGUGAAAAGACAGCUUCCUCCAUUGCACCCAAGGAUAGCAGGCUAGCUUGAAGAUAAAGGUAAAGGGACCCCUGACUGUUAAGUCCAGUUGCGGAUGACUCUGGGCUCGCAGCACUCAUCUCACUUUACUGGCCGAGGGAGCCGCCGUUUGUCCACAGACAGUUUCUGGGUCAUGUGGCCAGCAUGACUAAGCCACUUCUGGCGAACCAGAGCAGCGCACAGAAACACCAUUUACCUUCCCAGCGGAGCGGUACCUAUUUAUCUACUUGCACUUUGACAUGCUUUCAAACUGCUAGGUGGGCAGGAGCAGGGACUGAGCAACGGGAGCUCACCCCAUCGCAGGGAUUCAAACUGCUGACCUUCUGAUCAGCAAGUCCUAGGCUCUGUGGUUUAACCCACAGUGCCACCCACAUCCCAGCAGGCUAGCUUAGGACAGGCCAAAUGACACACACUGCCCUGCCCUCCAUCACCUCACCAUUGUCUCCAGCAUCUGCUGUUCGAGGCAGCCACUUCACUCUGGCUAAUGUUAGGGCUGGCCCUAUCUUUUUUAGAAAAGCAGCUGUGAUGUUCUGUGUUAGGUACGCAGUCUAUCAAUCAGGACAGCGAGGCCCAGUUACUGGUGAGGUAUACUUACCAUUUCCUUAAAGCUGGCUCCCAUCUCACCAGCUUUCCAAGAACCCCAAGCUCUUUGUGCAGGUGCCCCAAAUUGUGAGCCACCAGAUAAGAGCAACCUCCCCAAGCCCAGUGCCAUCAGAUGUUGUUGGAUUGCAACACCCACAAUCCCUGACUAUUGGCCACACCAGCUGGAACUGAUAGGACCUGCGGUUGAUAAAACCUAGAGGACAUCAGGUGGAGGAAGGUUGGGCUAGAGCAGCCUUUCUCAACCUGUGGGUCCCCAGAUGUUGUUGAACUACAACUCCCAUCACCCCUAGCUAGCAAGGCCAGAGCUCAGGGAUGGUGGGAGUUGUAGUUAAACAACAUCUGGGGUCCCACAGGUUGAGAAAGGCUGGGCUAGAGCAUUUGCCCUGACAGGGGAUGGGUUCCAGGUACUGGGCUGGCCAUUUGCUCACCCAGGCUAGUUAUUGGUCCAUUUCAACAAGAAGGGCAAAAAGGCCGCCUCUUCAACCUGGAACUUUGCUUGUGUAAUGAUUAUAUUUCCUGAUUAUUACUUGUUUCAGCUCUUGGCUUGUUCUGUGACUCAUCACCUUCAGCAGGUGCUUACAGCGAUGCCCAGUUAGUAAUGUCUGAAGAACAGAAGGAUAGGCAAUUGGACAGGAAGUCCCCAUGACACUCCACCUCCAGCUUUCAUCUUCUGACAACUGAGAAAGUCUCUUUCAUCUCCCUUCACUCAGAGCUGUAAAACUUUUAUAUAAGUUGAUUUCAUGCAAUAUUAAGAGGACGUUUGUUUGCUUGGAUGGAGCAGGGGUGUGAGACUUGUAACAAAUGGCUUUCCACUGUGCUCACAUCUGAAAAAACCAGCGGAACUUAAUAGUGGAGUUUGUUCUAGUUCGGCUCAUGAGGAAGAUUUUUUUUUUAUUUAAAAAAAAAAAGGAUUUGGGGACCAAGCUGUGGGAAAUAUUUUGCAUUUGUGGUGUUUCCUGUACUGCUUUGUCUGCUGUCUUGCCAUUUACAAAAUAUUAAUUUCAUCGAAUCCUAUGAGUUUGAAGGGACUCCAGCAUUCAUCCAGCCCAGUCCCCUGCCAAUUGAGGAAACGACAUAUUUUAAAUGCAUUGAAUACAUGAAGAAUAUUUGGCUUCAUUUUUUUAUAUGCAUUUCAGUUCUUCCCCUCUCCUUGUCAUCAAGAUCUCUGAAUUUCUGCUUCUGAUAAAUGUUGCUCAGACAUGCACCAAUUGUUUUACAGGUGACAUACCAGCAAAUAGGAUUCUUGGCUUGCAUUUUCUUUCAACAGAGCUGUAAUGUACAAAAUGAAAUUUGUCAGGUGCCUGGUAUUUUUCCCCCCUACCCCAGGAGUAAAUGCAAUGGGUCCAUUUGAUUUCUGACAGCCUUCAUUGCUGCUUUGUUAGUCUCCCUUGCAAUUUGUUCACUUAAUGCAAUGGCACUGACACCUAAACGCUAAAUAAUAAAUGGUAAUACAGUAAACUGGCAUGUUCUAAAUAAAGAAAAUGGUUUUCCUCUUUAUUUUUUCUUGCUUAGAGGGACAUGGAUGGCUACAAGGAAGCUCUAGGCUUGCUGUGGGGUCAUACUGCUUCGCUUUCAGCAACAAACUAUUUGCUCCACCUUCAGUCUCACAAACGGAGAGAUCAUGAAACAGAAACUAAGGACCACAUCUAGACUGUCAGUAUCUUGCAGGAGGGACUCAAGGGCCUGCUGGGAAAUAUAGGUUUGUGCAAUUAAUUAAUUAAUCAAUUUGGCAGCCCUCCACUGAUAUUUCCAGUACCUCUGACCUGGAUUAAAGUGCUCUGUUGCGCAAGCCCAACAAAUCUACUUCUAAAAAAGAACUGCCUUCUUGCGGUUAGGAAAGUGACAGGGAAAUGCAUUGAAAAGUGAGAAAUUAACAAAUGAUUAACAGGAAAAGGUAUCAACACCACACAAGCGAAGCUGAUUGCCAAGCACUCUGGAAGACAAAUGAUUGUCGCUGAGCACUUCUAAGCAAUGACUUGUUUUUUUUAAUAGCUCCUUAAAAAAAUAAGAGGCUCCUGGGCUGGUUCAAAAGGCUUUACAGGACAGUUCCAGUCCACAGACAAGUGUUUCUCCACCACUAGUGUAUCUUAACCGUGCCAUGAACUGCGAGGGAGAGCAACUCCUUUUAGUCAUCAGACAAAACCCCAACCAAAACUAGACUCUUGCUGAUAAAUUGCGAGCAGAGCAAGCAGAAGCCGGUGUCGAAGCCGCAGCUGAACAGGAAUCCAAUGGAAGCAAAGCAAAGUCAAGGUGGUAAUUGCUGGAGAAGCAGAUCCGGCGAGGGGGCGAGAGGUAAGCACUGUGGUUUAAAACACCCGUGGCCACGCCCCCACCAGCACUGAUUGGCCGGGUGGGUGGGCAGGACAUCACAUGGCUGGGGCUGGCGCGAGGGAGGCGUCAAUUCCCUGACCCCGACCUGGAUCACUGUGAGGAUAAUAAUAAUAAUAAUAAUAAUAAUAAUUUUAUUUAUAUCCCGCCCUAUAUUAUAAGCCGAAGUCGGGCUCAGAGUGGCUAAUAACAGUAAAAAUAACACCGUUUACAUAAAAUCACAAUCAAUUACUGUAUUUUUCGCUCUAUAAGACGCACCAGACCACAAGACGCACCUAGUUUUUGGAGGAGGAAAACAAGAAAAAAAAUAUUCUGAAUCUCAGAAGCCAGAACAGCAAGAGGGAUCGCUGCACAGUGAAAGCAGCAAUCCCUCUUGCUGUUCUGGCUUCUGGGAUAGCUGCGCAGCCUGCAUUCGCUCCAUAAGACGCGCACACAUUUCCCCUUACUUUUUAGGAGGGAAAAAGUGAGUCUUAUAGAGCAAAAAAAAUCGGUAAUUGAAAUACAUUCUAAAAUCAAUUCAUUCUAAAAUCAGUUCAGAGUCAAAUUAAUGGCAACCAUUGGGCUAGAGAUUACAAAAGGAGAGAGGGGGUCAGACUGUGCCUUGCCUUGGCCAAAGGCCUGGUGGAACAGCUAUGGAUGCCCAGCCACAACGCUGCCCACCGCAAAAGGUGAGCGGUCUUGUUACACUCUUGUGUUCCUCUUGUGGGCUUUCUAUGGGCAUCUGGUUAGCCACUGUGAGAACAGGAUGUUGGACUCGAUGGGCCUUUGGCCUGAUCCAGCAAGGCUGUUCUUGCAUUCAUGCCCCAAGGGAGAUUCAAUUAGGUAUAUCUCCAGGCAUCAACAGCAUCAUGUCUCAAAUUAGGGUGAUUCCUGAUACCCCACUUGAAGUGAUGUGUGUGUGUUUCAUUGCACACCAAAGAUUCACUGUAGAUCUUUUAUUUUCCCAUUGCUGAUGUGUUUAUACAUUCAGGGCCAGACUAGCAGGAUGAGUGAGUGAAUGUAUCUCUGUCUCACUUUUUAAAUUGUUUUCAAAUAGCAACUUUGGGGUCCUCCCAAUCUGGAUUUAAACUAUGACACGUGAGAGGGGAAGGGAGCUUUAACCUCUUCCUACUGGAGCAAUUUGUAGCAUAGGGGUGAAAUUUUCAUCAGAAAAAAUAGAGUAGGGAAAAAGAAUAACCCCCUCCCCUCUGCCACUGUCCUGAUCUGGAUCAAUACCCUCCUUCCCCUUCCCUGCUCUGCUGAAGCUGCUAUUUGAAAAAAGGGGGUUUGGCCCUUAAUGAGGAAUUAGAACAAACUCACUGCCUGCCCUGAAUGGGUUAAACUACCUUUAAUUGCAGGUGAUGAAUAUUAAACAUACACAGAAGAUAAGAAGAGCUGUUAAAAAUAAAGAGAGUCAUCUCUUUUUCUGCAAAUCAAGUCGGUAAUAAUGUCGGAAAAAUCUGAAAAUGAGUGCAAGCGCUGCCGACUGUUACUCAGAGCAAAGAAUUAUUGAUCCUUGGCUGUCUCUAUUGAUUUUAUGUCACUUCUGUGAUUUAAUCAUGUUUUUCCUUGUUAUCUCUUUGCAGCCUUUUCUUCUAUUGUCUGGCAGAAGAACUCAGCCAAGGCCUUUUCAGUCUGUGAUGACGGCGAUCAAAAUAACUUUGACUUCCAUUUGCAUUGUUUUCAAGAAAUGAUUAAACAAUCCCAAGGCAUCAAGACCCCUUUGUGCCUCUGUGACAUGCCAUGCAGAAUGGAGAAUUGAAAACACUUUCAGAAGGAGAGGGGGCUGUCACUUUUCUUAGAAAGAUUUAGAUAACCUGGUAAAUCCUCCUCUGGUUUGGACGGCAUAUUGCUACGAAGAGAUUCAGCAGUCUGCUUAUAUUCGGAAGUGCUUUCAGCUGAAACACCGGGGCCUCAUUUAGCAGGAUGCUGAGUGCAUGGAGAGUGUGUG
Molecule: non-coding RNA, 5020 nt
Organism: Podarcis lilfordi (Lilford's wall lizard)
Lineage: Eukaryota; Metazoa; Chordata; Lepidosauria; Squamata; Lacertidae
Source: the annotation of a GenBank genome assembly